AAUCCGUGAUAAGCUUCUACACGAAAUGGAUCUUUAGAUAGAACCUCUUCGAAUCCUUUCGUCGCUGAAUCGAAAUCGCCGCCGUAGGUUUGUACCUGAGCUUUUAGGAUCCGCCAUUCUUGUUCUUCGGGUUGGAUUUCGAUCAAACGGUUUAGAAUCUCUAAGGCGUGGUCGAUGUUUUUGGUUUGGAAUUUGAUUUUCAUCAGUGAUUGAAGAGCUUCGACGUCGUUUGGAUUCUUAGUGAGGUGCUUCUCCAGCGCUGCUUCUUCUUCUUCUUCCUUUGGACGCGACGAGAUUUGAUCGGAA
This is a long non-coding RNA of Arabidopsis thaliana (thale cress), 306 nucleotides long. RefSeq annotates it as other RNA. The record is from RefSeq. NCBI's taxonomy places the organism in Eukaryota, Viridiplantae, Streptophyta, Magnoliopsida, Brassicales, Brassicaceae. The transcript has a single exon.